RNA transcript from Herpailurus yagouaroundi (jaguarundi), 2880 nucleotides. It is a transcript of the gene named SPC25 component of NDC80 kinetochore complex, with no coding region annotated. The record is from RefSeq and is a predicted model, not a curated record. NCBI's taxonomy places the organism in Eukaryota, Metazoa, Chordata, Mammalia, Carnivora, Felidae. The transcript is spliced from 8 exons.
CCUAAAAUUUGAAAUAGGAAAGUUGGCGGGGCUGCGGGAGCUGGGUCUGAAGACCUGCUGUUGGCUUGAAUUGUUUCUGGUCUUGUGUGGGUUGGCGGCGAGGCUCAGGUCUCCUGGAAAAGCAUUCUCUUACAAGAUGAUAGAGGACGAACUGGCACUAUUUGAUAAAAGCAUAAAUGAAUUUUGGAAUAAAUUCAAAAGCACUCUCAGUGACACGUCCUGUCAAAUGAUGGGACUAAGAGAUACCUACAAAGACUCCAUCAAAGCACUUACAGAAAAGCUGUCUGUGAAAUUAAAGGAAGAGGAACGAAUGGUUGAGAUGUUUCUGGAAUAUCAAAAUCAGAUCUGUAGGCGGAAUAAGCUCAUUCAAGAAAAAAAAGACAACUUGUUAAGAUUGAUUGCUGAAAUAAAAGACAAAAAUGAGAAACUAGAAGUACUGACUGCAAAUAUUCAGGAUCUUAAGGAAGAAUAUGCUAGGAAGAAGGAAACUAUUUCUGCUGCUAACAAAGCUAAUGAAGAGAAGUUGAAAAGGCUACAGACAUCUGCAGACUUGUAUAAAGAUCGACUUGGACUUGAAAUUAGAAAAAUUUAUGGUGAUAAGUUGCAGUUUAUAUUUACUAAUAUUGACCCUAAGCAUCCUGAGAACCCUUUUAUGUUUUCCCUCCACCUAAAUGAAGCAAGGGAAUAUGAGGAAGGAGAAGUAGUCGCUGAAGAAAUCUGACCAGCAAACUGAAAAGGAAGCACCCGUUAACCAAGAGCAAAGACAUGGUGUCCCUGUUGUAUGGCUGCAAAAUCCAUCACGACUUCCUGUUGGCUCUGGACGCCAUGUCCUGCUUGCAGCAGGGGGAUUCCUAACCCUAACAUUCUUGCCAAGGGACCACAACACCUCCGGUUGGACUGAACUGAACUGAACACCUCUGAUCGACUGCAUUGUGGGACAGGCUUACCUAAGAUGAAACCAAAACCCACCACAUAUCUUCUACCAUUAGACCUAGCCUGCAUCUGAGAGCAUCAUAGGACAAAUCUCCUUCCUCUCCUAUGUGGUGCUCUUUCCAGUGUCUGAAGAUAGUAUCUAUUCUAAAUAUAUUCAGUUUCCACAACACUUUCUCCUAGAACAUGUGUUAUCAACAUUCUUCUUCUUUCAAAUAUGGCACUUGAAGGACAAAGAGGCAAUGAAUUAGGAAGAAUUUAAAUGAAACAGAGUUUCCUCCUGCAAGAAACCUUCCCUGGGUAGACUUCGUGUUAUCCAUCGGAUGCAGGGGUGUGUAGCCAAGUUACACGGAUAUUUGCCAUUCGCUGCUCAAAGGUUCAUGUUUACUCCAUCAUAAGCACCAUUAAUUCAGGAGCCAGACCCUCCCGGACCUUAUACCCUCCACUAUGUGGAUCAGGCCAGCAUGUACCCAGAUGAUCCCAAUACAUGUUCUGUGCUGGUAAUGAUGAUGACAAAAUUCUAUGCAAGAACAACCAAAGAAAUAAACUUACAACUUAACACCAUCAAAAAAUGCUCCAUAUGACUAUUUUGGUAAAUACUACUUGCAUGGAGUUAGAAAACCAAACAUUUUGCACUAUCACAGAAAAUGUUCUACAGACUGCUUUAUAAUUUCAUAAAAACUAUAGCCAUGUGUCACUGCAAAUAUGUUAGAGCUCUGUUCCCAAGUGAACAGAAUUCAGGCCUUUCUUUCCCUAAGAGUGUUAGGUUUGUUUUUCCAACAGCACCUCCUCUAAAGGAAGCCUCUGCUAAAUAAUCGAUUAAACUGUACCUGGCUAUAUCUGUCUCCUUUCACCAAAGAACUACUGAAAUUACCUGUUUGGACAGAAUUAUUAGGUACCUGCUUUCACAAGACAGUUAGGCUAGGUACAAGGUAAGGACAGCUGGCCCAGCUUCCUAUAUCCUACAAAACAUUGCUAAAGAUUUUAUCGCUUCCUGAAUUCUUCUCAUAUUAACCCCCGUCAACUUCCUAUUUCUGUAAUCAUAGCAGAAAACCUGCAUCUAGCACACAUAGUUCAUAGCAUCUGUUUGCCUUUAUUCCUGUAUAGAAUUCACAGCACUUUGCUAACCUCUCUUUCACCUGGGCUCCUCUGAAGCGGCUGCAUUGUCCAUCACUCCCACAAAUGCCUGGGGGCUGCUGAGGUCCAGGCUCUCAGCAAAAAGGCCCAGAGUUGCCUCUCUCCCUGCCCUCUCCUGACAGCACCUCCCCUCCCCUCAGACAACCUCAGCCUCUGAAGUUUUUUCCCUUUUUCUCAGGAGCUUUUGCCACACACACCCAGACUACCCCCUCACUCUGUGCCUCACAUCUUUCCGCUCCCCUGUUAUUUUCAGAAGACCGUGAUGUUCGCUGAGGGAUCAGUGGAAAGUGGAAUCUUCAUAGUUACCAGGUUUUCAGCUCUCCUCUGUGCACUGUGCUGACAUUUUCUAACCAACACUAUAUCCUCACAAUAACCUUCUGAAGUAGGGACCAAUAUCCCCAUUUUACAGAUGAGAAAACUAAAGUCGUCCCAAGUCACUGUAAAUGACAGGGCUGGAUCCAGAUCCAGACCUUUCUGAAUGCAGGCCCUGGUUGUGGGUUUGUGUGUGUGUGUUUAAUCACUUUUCCUAACUGGGUUAAAGUACACGUGGUUUCCAGACCUUGAUGGAAUUAUUCUAUUUUGGGGAAUUCUAUUUUAGGCACAAUUCUUUUCCAGGAAGGACACUAAAGCAAACAUUUCUAAGUUGAAUUUUUCCGGAUCCCUCAAACUGUUCAUCAAGGAGGUGACUAUAGGAGCUCUCUUCCUAGAAUGUUGUAUGUCAUGAGAAAAGAGAGGCAAAGAGAGGUCAAAUGGGCCCCGAAAACAAGCAUCCUAAAAAUAACUCUUUCAUCAUUAAACCUAGGAAGGUGGAAU